UCCCUUCAAGGCAUUCAUCUUCCUGAAUCCAAUUUCAUACAAAUGACUACAUGAGAAACAUUUAAAACACGGGCUACAUUUUCCCAAGUUUAUGAAUCAUCAACACUAUGGAGUGACCAUUAACUAAAUGCUUCCACACUUCUGAAAUCUCAAAGUAAAAAAGAACUCUUUGGUUGUGACAGAAAAUUAUCCAAGUAAAAAAGGUAUCUUUUCUUAUCAUUCGAAGGAGGAAAAAAAGGGGGGGUAAUAAAGCAAUGAACUUUAACCCUAGAGGUAAACCUGGCAGUUAUUAUGGCCUUUGAUCAUAGAAUUAACCAUUGUAAUGGUCAAUCUGGCCUGAAUUUCAUCUGAUAAAACUGUCUGAAUAGACACUCUGGUAACUUUGUCAAAUUGUAACAUAGCAAAGAACAAAGUUAGUACUUUAUCACCUUGAGUCAAUUAAGGAUAGAGGGGCUAUUCUAACAAGUUUAUUUACCAAUCAAAUGCCUACAGGUCGUAAUCUGGACUCUGCAAAUAGCAAAGUCUUACAAUCAGUUCAGAGACUCUGCAGCCAAGAAGAAAAGCUCUUCCAGGACAUUUAGGAUUGGACUUCUCACGAGAAUAAGAAAAAUAUUCUUCAUAUUUAAUCAGCCAAGCAGAAACCCCUAAGAAGAAAGUUUUAUAAAGACUGAAAAUGGAUGGGAAAAUGCAGGUGUUUGUUACAAUCUAGUGGUGAGCUGCAUUUCCUGAGUCUCAGCCGAUUUCCCAGCAGGAAUUCCAGUCUGAUGAAGAAUCAGCAAAAGGAAGCCCUCACUGAGAGACACACUGGUAUCAUUCACUGAGUGGAGACAGUGAAAGAGUAACAUAUUUCUAAAGGCAAUUGAGAUUCUUAGUACAUAUGCUCACAAAGUAAAUACAGAUUUACCUUCCCAUGACAGAAGCAAUGAUUAAUUUCCCUUGAAAACCUGACUGCUUUUUCUACAAAGCAUUUGGUUUUACCCUACUUACCACUUUGUGAUGAUUUUCAUUCACCACAGUUCAUCCCUUAACUGCCUUUUUAUCACUGUUAUCACCUCCCAAAGCUGUGAAAAUCAAAUCUGGAAAUCUAGUGUAACCUAUACAGCAAUAUUUUUGUUAAACAAAAGGAAAUGAACAUUUAAUACUUUGAAGAAAAACACGUUUUCUUUCUUUCAUUUCUCUAAGUAGGCUCCAAGCCCAAUGUGGGGCUUGAACUCACGACUCCAAGAUCAAGAGUUGCACGCGCCACCAACUGAGCCCACUGGGCACUCAAGAAAAACAUGUUUUCUCAAAUGUCUUUAACACAGCAGUUCACAAGGAAUCAAUCAUUUGAAUACAGUUCUAGCAACUGUCUUAGAAAGUAAUAUAACUUUUAAAACAUUAUGGUUUAUAUACUUUUCAUGGAUAAUUCUGAAUUGUAAGACUUAUAUUUAUUGCUCUAGAUAGCAAUGUCAACACCGGACCAACAACCACACAUACCUUUUUAAGUUUAAAAUUAAGUUAAUAAAAAUAAAAAUAAAAUAAAAAAUUUAGUUUCUCAGUUGCACUAGCACCAUUGUAAGUAUAUAAUAGCCACUUGUGGCUAGUGGUUACUGUAUUGGACAGCAUAGACCUAGAACAUUUACACUGCUGCAAAAAAAAAAAAAAUCUAUUGGACAGCACAGUUCUAAAUAAAGCAUCUAAAGAGAGAGAUUUAUGGUUAAAAGGGCUUACCUGGCCUAAGGAGGUGUGGGUGUGUGAAGGGGCUGGGCUGGCCUAAGUAUCGGUUUGGAAUUCUCCUCUCUGGGAUGGGCUGGAGCGAGUACCAUCGCUGAGAACAUGACAUGAAUCCUGAAGGAAAAAUAAAGAGAGUAGAAUGGAACAAUAAUCAAGAAAGUCCUCACAGUGUAUAUACAUUUAUCGAUCUCUAGCAGUUGGAUGCUCUAGAAAAAUGCAAAUUAGUAUCUCCUUCAAUAUUUAUAUGGCCCUCCCUCUGUGCCAGUCAGAGCCUGUCUUGGGCCCUGGGAAAACAGAAAUGAGAUCAUUUUUACCCUUAGUGACUUCAGUCUACUAUAGUAUAAUAGAGGUACAUAUAUACAGAAUAGGACUAUGGUAUGAAUAAGGAACUAUGGGAACAGAAGGAAGGCAACAAACAAAAGCAAGGAAGGGGUUAGGAAGUAUUUCACAGAAAUACUGUGUCCUAAAAUUCAGAAAAAGCUGUAUCCUAAAAUUCAGAAAAAGAGAGUUAACAUUUUUACUGAGAAUAUAUGAAGUACAAAAAAAAACAUGAUAUCUCAUUGAAUCUUGGAAUGUUAGAGGUAGAUAAAAUAAGGUAUAAAAAUGCUUUAUCAUAGUAUACAACACACUAUUAGCAUUCAUUCAGUAAGAUUAAGCAUGUGACUGGAACACAUGCUAGAAGAAGACAAAAGAAUGAGGACUAUAUGCUCUGGUCUUUAAAGAAUAUACAGUCUAGUGGAGGUGAGACAAAACAUUCAAGCACUACAUGGUGAACACCAUGGUGGAUUCAUUCACAAGGUCUUUUGAGAGCACAAAGACUGAAACAAUACUGUGGGAUGGGUGCAAUAUGAUAUAGAUACAGAUACAGUGCUCUGAGGAACACAGAGACGCACACAAAGGGGUGUUGGUGUGGGACUCUAGAGGUAGGGGAUGCCUGCUCUGAAUAAGAAUUAGUCGAGGGCAUCUGGCUGGUUCAGUGGGUAGAGCAUGCAACUUGAUUUCGGGGUUUUAAGUAAGAGCCCCAAGCUGGGUGUAGAGAUUACUUAAAAAUAAAAUCUUAAAAAAAAAAAAAAAAAGGAAUAAGCCAAGUGAAAGAGAAAGAGGGGUGUUGAAGGUAUCAUAAAUGAGAUUACAAAAGGGAAGUCAUAGAAGGCACUGGGUAUGUGCGUACAUACAUGCAUGUGUGUAUGUGUGUGUGUGUGUGUGUGUGUGUAGGGGGAAGAGAGUUUCAGGUCAGUGUUGAUGGAGGAAGAAAAGAUUAGAAAGGUAAGGAUCAGACCAUUGAAAGCUUUGUAUACCAAAUUAAGGAAUUAGGAUUUUAACUGCCAUCAUCAUUGCUUUUUUACAAAAAAGGAAUCAGACUCAGAGAAGUAAUUUGUGCAAUGUUACAGUUAGUAAUGAGGAAGCUAGGAUUCAAGCCUAAAUUUAUUAAACUUUGAAAUCUUUGUUCUUAUCCCUCCAUCCUGCUGCUCAGUAGGUGUUCUCUGCUGAUCCCAAAAACAGAAUCAGUACUGUAAAAUCUCCUUGUGAACCUACAAUCGCUACAAUGGUAGAAUGUGAUGUCUGGAUCAAGUUAAAGGUUUUUGUAGGUACUAUGUAGUAUGAAUGAAUGAGGUGUAUAUAUUUGAUGAGUUAAGAAUCUUAAAUGUUAACUCUGAAUUAAAUUUUCAGAGGAUUACUGAAAAAAAUUAUAGCUUUUUGGAUGAUUAAAAAUACAGAAAAUGGCAAAAGUUUCUAGGCAGUAUGAAAAUACAGUUAAAAAUUGUGAAAAAAUAAGAAAAAGGACAAAACAA
Molecule: long non-coding RNA, 3506 nt
Organism: Acinonyx jubatus (cheetah)
Lineage: Eukaryota; Metazoa; Chordata; Mammalia; Carnivora; Felidae
Exons: 2
Source: RefSeq, a predicted model, not a curated record